GCCAGGAUGCCUAAGGUUUCGGCGCCGCCACGACCGGCGUGGUCUCCCUCGGAGAAAAUCCUGACGCCCCCUUCUUCGCGCCUUGGUGGAGGGGAACACGGUAGGGCGCCGCAAGGCAUCGGGGCAGAGAUGGAGGCGCUGCACGGAGGAGAUGGAGGUGCUACGACAUUAUUGAAGGACGCGGCUACACAGUGGAGGCGAAGGAGAUGAGCAGCGGAGCAGCGGCCGUGGUGGCAAGAAAGACAUCAGCGUGAGCUCCUCAUUCCGAUUGCUGCCUCCCUUAAGUAAUUUAAUUCUAUUUCGCUUCUAGGGUUUGAUGUCAAGGAGAUUCCUAUGCCAAUGGUGUCAACAACCAGAAGUGAUGCUCUGCUGCAGCUUGGGUUUCCCACACAGUCUGAGCAUUUAUUUAUCGUGUGUUCACCUAUUAUCUACAGGGGAUAUGCAUAGAAACUUCAGAGUUUGGACUCUCCAGAUCAGGGUCCAGUUCACAUCAUCGUAGCUGAUCAACCUUCUUAGGUUGGCCUUUGUCUCUUCAGGAGCGCGGCUAAGAAGAUCAGAUUCUUGCCAUUCAGAUUGGGGAUGUCCCCCUUUCACAAAAAUGCAUGUGUUUGUGUUCAUACAUGGCAACUCAAACAUUUUCUCAUCUUAUUACUGACGCACUAGGUGAAUGUGAGCAGUUCAUUGUUAGCCUCAUCACCUCUCUGUUUCACGUUGUUGCAAAUUUAUAGCCUUGCUGAUUCAUAUGAAGAAACUAAAUUAAACUUCAUGGUAGGUACACGUCAAUCAUACAAGCAUAAGGACAUGGAAAUUAAAAGGCAAGGUGAUUAUGUGAUUUUUAUUGUGAUGCCAAAUCAUCUUCCUUGCCUGUUGGUAGCUGCUCCUAAGAGAAUAAGAUUUUUAAUUGUACCUCUUUAGAUGCAAGCAUCUUCUUAUCAGUGGAACUGCAAGGAUUUUUUUCAAAGUAAAUUGAAGUGAACUAGAUCUAUCAUUUGUACUUGAAUGCUAACUGGAUAUGCAGGGACACUGGGUAGUAAAGUUUUCUAGCAGUGCAUACGUAGAUUAAGCAGUCUGAUACUUUUCAGUGUAUUCUCACGGUUAUUCUUAGUGUAUAUUAUGCAGCUUAAGUAGAGUCACAUGAAGGUGAAGUGAAGCAACCAUGACAUGAAAGAUGAUUUUGAUGCACACAACCUAUUUAGUGAAAUACAGGUACUUGGGUUGUCUCUCCGUAAGUUCCUGUGCAAUUUAUUUAUCGUGCUGAUUGUGUGGAGUUUGGAGAGCGGCCAUAUGCAAGGGGGAGCUGUCAGGUGUUAAUUUAGAGAGUGGGUAUAUGCAUGGUAUCAUGUGAAUUACGUUGUUGAUUAUAUGGUUAGUUAUCUCAUACACCUAGAGGCAAGUUCGUAUUUACUAUCUUAUAACCUUUGUAACAUUUCAGAUUAUGAUAUCAUUUUAGUGAAAAUGUGCAUAUACUGGUUAGAGCCUUGGUCUAGAAGUAGAGGUUCUGAACUAAAUCAAAGGUAAUUCUGUUACAUCGCUGCAUAGGGCACUUGGAUGGAGGAAACUUAGUUUACCGUGGCCAGUCCAGACUGAAACCAUAUGUGUUUUUUAAAAAUUACCCAUCCUUAAAAGUUAGUGUUUCACUACUUUUAUAGUGGUUUAGCACAGAAACUUUGGAAAUGGCGGCGGACGUGGUUCUUCUGUGACGGCAGGCUGGGUCGACAUCUCGUGGCUACGGGCAUGCCUGUCACGGCUCUUGCCAGUCAGUUGUUCCUGCAUGGAUUGCUAAUGGAAAGAUCGAGGUGAUUCGGUGAAUCUACAUAAGGAGGAAGACUCGUGUACGUGGUGGACCAAGGCAGGAUCUUGGGGAUACUCGGCUAAAACAAGCUUGGAGGAGCCAAGCAAAUGCCGGUGCUAGCUUUUUGGAGGCCAUGUGUAAGGAUGACCACACCAUGCGCACCCCGCGGUGUUUCUAUGUAAUGGCCUAUCUCAGCUGCCCUUCGUUGUAUCGCUUUUUGUGUGUACUUUUUCGCUAUGCUUUUCUAAUUUAUAUUGAUUUAUAUGAACACAAAAAUUAUUAGCUUACUGUAUUGACCAAACAGAUAAAGAAAGUUCAGAACAUAACAAUCAAUUUCUUUGGCUCAAUAGGAAGAAUUGGGAACUGAUCAAUACAGUUAGUUAGUACAGACAAAUGAAAUUUCUGGUUUGCACGGAAUGAGCACUGAUUACCUCAAUGUAAUUGUAGAACCAACAUGAUGUUUGGUCAAUUCACUUCGGCGUCUACUCAAAAUAGCUCCAUAUAUUCAGUGUUGGAGUAACCUGCAGGAAUUGACGGAUCUUUAGCCAUGCUAGGUGCAAGGUACAAAUCGAGUGAAAUCAUAACAAGAGAAAAAAUGCACAUUAGGCAUGUGUAGGAUUUUUUGGGAACUUUUCUUGGCUGCACUUUGUGUUCUCCAAAAUCUUAAAAGGUUCAGUUCGGCAUCUGUAGGAUUUAUGCGAUUGCAAUGCCGAUAUGUAAAAUAAUCCUUUUGUAGCUUUUGGAUUCCAUAAACUUAAGGGAUGGCUCAUAGUAACUUAAUUUCGGCUCAUAGGGACGACUCCAUA
Lolium perenne is the source of this 2598-nucleotide long non-coding RNA. RefSeq lists it as uncharacterized. Lineage: Eukaryota; Viridiplantae; Streptophyta; Magnoliopsida; Poales; Poaceae. The record is from RefSeq and is a predicted model, not a curated record.